This is a non-coding RNA of Drosophila melanogaster (fruit fly), 1130 nucleotides long. The record is from Ensembl. NCBI's taxonomy places the organism in Eukaryota, Metazoa, Arthropoda, Insecta, Diptera, Drosophilidae.
UACAAACACCAAGUUCGUGCUGUUCAGCUCUUUCAACAUCCAAAUAACCUCAGCCAGAACUGAGCACCCAGGAUUCAAGGCGAAUAGUUUGACCAAUAACAACGGGGGCAUUGUUGCGAGAAUCUCCUCCUGCACGGAGCAUUUCAAGGACUUCACAAAGGAGCUCCGCUAUCCUUUGACUGAUGACAUUUCUGGGCCUUCAAUAUAUACCAAUGGGUCUAACGAGCUGUGGGACAGGUCAGUGCCACUCAAUCUUCUGCGGUCAAUCGCGGGUCAAAGAGCAGGUGGUGGUUGAUGGGCGGUGGGGGUGGCCAUUGGCUAAUUGGCGGCCGUAGUUCAUUAGUGUGCCAGUCACACGUUGAUUAGGCGGUUUGGAUUCGGAUGCGGUUGCAGUUUGGUGUCGCAACCAUAACAACAAUAACAAUCAGUUGAAAUUGAUGGGCUGGAAGCAGGAUGCAAAUGAAUGGCACAAAAGUGUCCUUUGACCCGUUGCAAUGCCUUUCAUUGGGGUAAUAUUUUCCCCGUGAAAUGCAAACAAGCCGCAGACAGCGAUGGACAUAACUGACAACAAUGGCGCCUAAUCUCGGUUUAAAACUUACCACAAAACUCCUGGUGAAAACGACACCGGACAAACCGAGUGCGAAACGAGCAAAGUCAGUGGAAAAGUCCCUGGGGAAGAGCUCAUUCAUCGGAGACAACGGGCAAACAAGAUGUGCUGGGCCCAUAAAUUAGCAUCACUUAAGUGGCCAGAUGAGAGUUCCUCUGGGGGGCGUGUAAUCCUUUCAACGAUUAAUUGCAACCCAACAUCGCCUGAAUCCAAAGAUCUCGUUGACUGGGGGUCUGGAAAUGUGAAUAUAAAUGGCUAAAUCAGACUGGGACGUACACAAAUGUCAUGUGGGACAGCUAAUGAUAUCUACAAAUCCCCAAACUCAAUCAAUUGUGGGGAGGAGAGACAAACUGGAGCUACACUGAGAAACAGAAAAGACAAAUGUAGUUUAGGACUUUGGAUUUAUAUCUUAAAUUAUUGGCAAAUAAAUUGCAAGAAAUCUUACCUCUUAGUUCUGUAAAUCACAUUCCACUGAAGCCUGAAUAAAUCGAAUAAAAAUAAAACCAAUAGAAUGAAAGAUUUU